Tupaia belangeri chinensis (Chinese tree shrew) is the source of this 258-nucleotide long non-coding RNA. RefSeq lists it as uncharacterized. The transcript has 3 exons. NCBI's taxonomy places the organism in Eukaryota, Metazoa, Chordata, Mammalia, Scandentia, Tupaiidae. The record is from RefSeq and is a predicted model, not a curated record.
AACAGGUUUCCGACCAUGAACCAUGGACAUUAUUUUCUGUUCCAAAUAGCCUGAACUUUGGAGAAUAAACUACUGCAAAGACAGAACCAGUUUGGGGUGAUUCGAGUGGUGAGGCACCAAGGAAUGAAGACCAAUCUUGGUGAAGUGACCCUCUCCACUGGAGAAGUUGAUUAACUCUACCCUCACUCUAUGAUCUCCAGUCUACUGCUUUCCUACUUGAAAUUCAAGAUUCAAACACUCUGAGAGGAUGAGCCAAGC